GAGUUUGAUCAUGGCUCAGAACGAACGCUGGCGGCAUGCCUAACACAUGCAAGUCGAACGGGAUCCGGACUUCGGUCCGGUGAGAGUGGCGGACGGGUGAGUAACGCGUGGGAACCUGCCCAAUGGUCUGGGAUAACCGCGGGAAACUGCGGCUAAUACCGGAUAAGCCCGAGAGGGGAAAGAUUUAUCGCCGAUGGAGGGGCCCGCGUCCGAUUAGGUAGUUGGUGAGGUAACGGCUCACCAAGCCGACGAUCGGUAGCUGGUCUGAGAGGAUGAUCAGCCACACUGGGACUGAGAUACGGCCCAGACUCCUACGGGAGGCAGCAGUGGGGAAUAUUGGACAAUGGGGGCAACCCUGAUCCAGCAAUGCCGCGUGAGUGAUGAAGGCCUUAGGGUUGUAAAGCUCUUUUUGUCCGGAACGAAACGGGUAGCGUGAAUAUCGCUGCCUACUGACGGUACCGGAAGAAUAAGCACCGGCUAACUACGUGCCAGCCGCCGCCGUAAU
Molecule: ribosomal RNA, 505 nt
Filed under: uncultured Alphaproteobacteria bacterium
Lineage: Bacteria; Pseudomonadati; Pseudomonadota; Alphaproteobacteria
Description: bacterial SSU rRNA
Rfam family: Bacterial small subunit ribosomal RNA
Source: RNAcentral